AUGAUGUUCGCCCCAAAGUGUUGCAGGUCGCGGCGGCGUAGAGGACGACGCACUGGCCGCACAGGAGACAUUGGACUUCCCAGAAACUUCACCACUGCCUCCCAACUCCGGCCUAACAGCGCCGGCGACCGUGGAUUGCGACGGCCGCGUGUCUCAAAAUCACGUACUGGUGGCGUCAGGGAGAUUCAGCAGCUAGGCAGCUUCCUGGCCGGAGGGGCGCGUGCAAGAUCCAUGACCCAGCAGCCUCUAUCUUCUCUGCCGGAUGUGGCCACGCAGCUGCAGGUCGUGCCCUCCUCUUGCUGCAGGCCGAGCCUUCCUCUAGCUGCAGGUGCAUCACAGGUAGGCACGAUGGACAUCGGGUGGUGGCAGCAGUAG
This 375-nucleotide ribosomal RNA is filed under the name Triticum aestivum (bread wheat). RNAcentral's name for it is "partial small subunit ribosomal RNA". Lineage: Eukaryota; Viridiplantae; Streptophyta; Magnoliopsida; Poales; Poaceae. The record is from RNAcentral.